CGACCGGCGCACGGGUGAGUAACACGUAUGCAACCUGCCUGCCACAGCCGGAUAAUCGGGAGAAAUUCCGUCUAAUACGGCAUAAUGCAUCGACGGGACAUCCUGUUGGUGCCAAAGGUUAAUUCCGGUGGCGGAUGGGCAUGCGUCGCAUUAGUUAGUUGGCGGUGUAACGGACCACCAAGACGACGAUGCGUAGGGGUUCUGAGAGGAAGGUCCCCCACAUUGGAACUGAGACACGGUCCCAACUCCUACGGGAGGCAGCAG
Molecule: ribosomal RNA, 264 nt
Filed under: uncultured bacterium
Lineage: Bacteria
Description: partial 16S ribosomal RNA
Rfam family: Bacterial small subunit ribosomal RNA
Source: RNAcentral